UCUGGGCCUGAGUCCCCAGUCAUCUCAAACAGAUGUCACACCAUGGGGAAUGAUUAGCCUCCCCUGCUCCAGAAUGUUCUGAAACAACAAAAGGGUGAAUUGUGACACAUCAGAAAAUAAAAAAGGCAGGCCCAUUUCUAAGGCACGACUCCCAGCCAGUGGAACAGACCAGCUGGCCCGGCUCAUCGAUGAGAGAUGCUAUUUGAGUUGUCAUUUCCGUUGCCAGGCCUCACAUCUGUAGCUUGGGAUGCGCCCACUUGUCUCUGGGAUCUGCAUCUCCUCCUGGAGCUCAUUCAAAGGGAAUGGCUCUUGGAAUCAAGGUCCAUUGUGGAGAAAGAUGGCCUUUCCUCUAUCCAGUGAAGAGAUUUCUCCUUGGGUGCCGCCUCUGGACAUCUUGGAACCUGGAAGAAUUUGCCAUGGAAGCAAUGACAAUCUUGUCAUAGAAGCAGUGGUGAUCAGAGCAAGAAAUGAACCAAUACAUCAUCUGGACUGACUCCUGUGUCAUAUAGAUAGGAAACUGAGACCCAGAGAGGAAAAGAAGUUCCAGGCAUCAGUGUGUUGGGGCCACUGGCAUAAACAGUGAACGGCUUGAUGUAAAACCAGAGUCCAGUUGCUGAAGGCCUGCUUCCCUCCACUAAACACCCUAUAUCUCCUUAUAAAGUAAAGGGUAGAGGGGAAAAGGGAACAUUUUUGGAAUUAAGAGCAUUAUGCACACCUAUAUAUUUACUAAUCAUGGAGGCCAGUUAAUGUUCUAUGUUUGGGAGAUUGGGACCCUGGGGGCCUAACUUCGAGUCUCAUCUCUACCCUGUUCUAGCUGGAUGACUUUGAGUGAAGAACCCAUCUCCAAGACUCUGUUUCUUUACCCAUAGUAUGGGUUUGAUACCUGUGCCUGUUCUGUGGAGUCGUUAUAAGGAUAAAGUGAGUUGAUAUAUGCACCAAGUUUCUAAUACUGUAUGUGGCACACAGUAGGUCUUCAACAAGUGCAACUUAUUAUUAUUGCUCAUAAGCAUUUAGAGAAAUAUUUGAAGGUUCAUGAAAGUAUGAAGAAGGAAAGCCUCACUUUCAUCCCUCGGUUUGCUGCUUUCCCACUGUGGGAUCAUCAUGGUAUCAUGAGUAUGUAUAAUUUAGCAGGCUGCUUUCUCCAUUUAGCAUUCUUUUGUGAACAUCUCCUCUUAUUCUUCAAACACAGGAUUUUUAAUGUCUACAAAGUAUUUCAUAAAUUGACAUACCAUAAUUUAUUUAACUAUGUCCCUAUUGUUGCAAUUCAGUUUGUUUUCCCCGUUUUUUCCCCCUUUGUAAAUAUUUUGGCACAUAGGUCUUUGCCUGCAUGUUUGAUCAUUUUCUUAGGAUAGAUUCCUAGAAGCAAAAUUAUUGGGUCAAAACAUAAACAUAUGUCAGAAUCUUGAUUCAAACUGUGAGCUGCUUUGCAGAAAGAAGCCAUGCUUUACUCUGUAAAGCUCGUUCUCCAAAGCUGCUCACGUCAGGAUUUGCCACUGGGCUAUUUGUGUGGUAGGGGAAGUCCAAUACUUAACACCCUCAGUCAGUUGAAGGGUAAUGUCCUCUUCCUUCUCUUCCUGGGCUGCACAUAGGACCACUGGUAAUGUCCCUGAUUCGGGAAUCCUUCAGAAUCUCCUCCUCGGGAAGCCUCAGCUCUCGCUGGUUUGGAGACUCACACAAACCUGAGCGGACCUCACAAGCUCAGCCAACCUCAUUCAGUUUUCUGAUAAGGGGAAUGGCAUCCGUCAUCAUGCCCAUCUUUAAGCUUUCAGAACAGUUGAGUCUAUAGGCUCUUUGCUAGUAUAUUGCUUGGGGAUAAUACCCCUUAAAUGUUAGAAAGUUACUGCUUAAAGGUACCCUCUAUAUCCUUGACCAGUCUGGUCCCAUUAAGUGGUCUUCAAGAACAUGUCUUCUCUCCACAGUGUGCGUGUGGUGACCACCUUAUAGGGGUGCUUUGCCAAUACCUCUCUGGGUCCAGCAUAGGGAAUGCUUGCCUGCCACAUGGCUUAGGCAGUGCUAAGCUGCUCCUCAAGCUUCUCUUCCUUGAAUCCAGAAUCUUCACCUUUUCUGGAUUCACCCUCUCUAACCCCCCAGUUCUGGGCUCCCAUUCUUCAUGCUUCGGGUGCUGUCUACAUACCUACUUGGUCCCUCUGCUGCCAAAGUCUUCCUCCUCCAGUCUGUCCUACACACAGCCACCAGAUUAGUCUUGCCUAGACAUAGUUUUGAGGCUGUCCUCCUCACUGCGGACCAGAUUAAGUGCACUCUUGAGGCUGUCCAUUGUGUAGACUCUGUUUCCUGGUUACCCCAUAAUACUUCCCAGCCAAAGAGCCAUUACUCAAUGUUCCCGGAAAGGACCCAAUCUUUGUCAGAUUCAUUAUUUUCCUUUUGCUUAAUUGCCCUCCUUGCUCCUGUAUCUCUCUUGAAAUUUCAUCUGUCAUUGCCCAUCCUAAGUACCUAUAUGCGAAGGAUGUCUUAACCCCCGUCCCCAGAAUGAAAGCUCACCCAUCACAAACACCUAUGCACAUCACUUCCCUUUUCUCAGUCCUCCAUAAUACAAUAUUUUCUAAUCUUCUCCUUGUCCAAAUCUUGGUAGAUAAUAAAGAAGACCUACCUUCAUUAUCUGUUAUUAUCAAAUCCUCCCUUUGUAUCCAUCUCUGUAGAUAGUAAACUCCUGGAAGAAUGAACAGCGCUCACCUCUUUUCUGUACCCAUUACAUCACCCCACAGAAUGUUUGGGACGUGGUGGACACUCAGGUCCUGAGACGGAAGUUCUCCAACACAGUCUCCCUCUUGUGCUGCCACAGAAUGGGAGCAACACAGCUGCUUGGAUUUAUUGCUUUUCCCAGGAGAGGCAAUUACAGCGCUUUAUCUUUCCCUUUGGCUUUCAGCCAGUGGCUCUGCACCUAGUUUCUAAUUUUCUUUGUGUUUGAAGGGAUGUUCUGCCUACUCAGUCAAAGCAAAAUGGUGUUAGAGUUGCUGCUGUUUAUUGAAAGACUACUAUGUGCUGGACACGUGUGUUUUCCAUAGGGGAGCUCAUUCAUUACUUUCCACAAAAAUCUUAUAAAUUAGGUAUUAUUAUCCUGCUCUUUGACGAGAAAAUGGAAGCUCAGAGAGGUUAAAAAAUCCUACACCCAAAUCACUAACGUAGUAGGUUAGAGUUUGAGCUAAGAGUUGAAGCCAGAUCUAUGGGCCCAAGUCCCUUUCAUGAUGUCCCAGCAGAAAAGGAUGAGUGGAGUGGGGCAGAUGUGAGGCUCUGGCUCAACUUUCCUAGGAUCUGAGAGCCUGGGGCUUUGUACUGGGGAGUAUGUGUGUUUCCACUGAAGCUUGGUUCUGCUAGUCAUGCUGAGCUCCUGGCACCACCUUGUCUUGUUGCAGCAGCACCUAUAAGAGGGCGGGAGGUGGAGCGAGGGCAUUGCUUGGGUCUGAGUGUCCUUGGUGCCCCGGAGGUCUAUAACUCUACACUUACUCUGUCUCCUCCAGAGAUCUCCAGAGCUCCCAGACCUAUCACUGAAUCAAUGGCAAAAUAUACUCUUGGCAUUGAAUUAUGGGGAAUCUGAUAGUUUAUUGUACUCUCCUGGUCAUCUGUUUGCUGGGGGGAAAGCAGUUGAAAAUGGGUAUAAUGUAUGCUGAUAUUAAGACAGUCUCAAAUGUCUUCCUUUAGGUAUCAAAACUGGUAUGUUGUGAUAAUUCAAUGCUAAUUUUUAACUCUGAAAAAUAGCAUCCAAGCAUAGUACUUGGAUGCUACAGUAAAGCAAUUAUUUAAUAGACAUUAAUUGAAUAUGUGAAUGAAUGAAUGAAUUCAGGAAUACAGAAAUAAAUGAAUGGUAUUUUAAGAUUUGUUUUGCAUAGCAAACAAACGGAAAUAGUGGGGAAGAUGGUAUUUUCCAAUUAUUAGUAGCAUGCCUUUGGGUAACUGAUUCUGAUACUCUGUUUUGUCAUGUGUAAAGUGGUGAUGUUAAUAUCCACUGACAAGAUCUGUGAAAAGUCUGAAAUUUGGGGGCACCUGGGUGGCUUAGUGGGUUAAGCCUCUGCCUUCAGCUCAGGUCAUGAUCUCAGGGUCCUGGGAUCAAGCCCCACAUCUGGCUCUCUGCUAAGUGGGGAGCCUGCCCCCCCCCCCAGCUGCCUCUCUGCCUACUCGUGAUC
This is a long non-coding RNA of Mustela lutreola (European mink), 4139 nucleotides long. RefSeq lists it as uncharacterized. The record is from RefSeq and is a predicted model, not a curated record. The transcript is spliced from 3 exons. NCBI's taxonomy places the organism in Eukaryota, Metazoa, Chordata, Mammalia, Carnivora, Mustelidae.